RNAcentral lists this ribosomal RNA (426 nucleotides) under uncultured bacterium. RNAcentral describes it as "bacterial SSU rRNA". It matches the Rfam family "Bacterial small subunit ribosomal RNA", at positions 355 to 774 of the family's 1533-position model. The record is from RNAcentral.
UGGGGAAUUUUGGACAAUGGGCGCAAGCCUGAUCCAGCCAUGCCGCGUGCGGGAGGAAGGCCUUCGGGUUGUAAACCGCUUUUGUCAGGGAAGAAAUCCUUUGAGCUAAUACCUCGGGGGAUGACGGUACCUGAAGAAUAAGCACCGGCUAACUACGUGCCAGCAGCCGCGGUAAUACGUAGGGUGCAAGCGUUAAUCGGAAUUACUGGGCGUACAGCGUGCGCAGGCGGUGAUGUAAGACAGGUGUGAAAUCCCCGGGCUUAACCUGGGAAUUGCAUUUGUGACUGCAUCGCUGGAGUGCGGCAGAGGGGUAUGGAAUUCCGCGUGUAGCAGUGAAAUGCGUAGAUAUGCUGAGGAACACCGAUGGCGAAGGCAAUCCCCUGGGCCUGUACUGACGCUCAUGCACGAAAGCGUGGGGAGCAAACA